GUAUAUAAUGUAUUUAUCAUGAAGCCUGGCACAUGUUCAAAAUAAGUAGUAGCUCUCAGAAGCUAAGCAGGGUCGGGCCUGGUUAGCACUUGGAUGAGAGACCACCUAGGAAGACCAGGUGCUGUAGGCG
This 130-nucleotide ribosomal RNA is filed under the name Pteropus vampyrus (large flying fox). The record is from RNAcentral. Lineage: Eukaryota; Metazoa; Chordata; Mammalia; Chiroptera; Pteropodidae.